Molecule: long non-coding RNA, 936 nt
Organism: Panicum virgatum (switchgrass)
Lineage: Eukaryota; Viridiplantae; Streptophyta; Magnoliopsida; Poales; Poaceae
Exons: 2
Source: RefSeq, a predicted model, not a curated record
GUGGCUCUACCAGAUCAAGCCAUCAGUGACCCACGAGCCCUUCCAGCCCUGCCCCGCCCACGUCUGCCUCGUCGGGGAGUUCAACCGCUGCACCGCCGCUGCCACACCCACGCAGCUACGCUGGAGGCCGCUCGAGGUUCCCCUGGACUCGCCCCUCGACUUCAUCGACGGCCUCUACACCGUCUACGGUGCCGGGAGCUCCUUCCUCCGACAUGGAAAAGGAAGAUGUUUCCAGAUUUGGCUCCACUGAUGUGGCACUAUUUUGGCACAAUGAUUGUGCUGCUGUAGGUAUGUAGCAAACCUUGUGCUCUUCUAUGCAUACUUAUAGUAUGAUCAAGCUUAAUAGGAGCUUUGAGUGUAUUCUGUCAUCUUCUGUUUCCAUGAUCAGUCUGUUAUGUUAUUCAUUCCCGAUUCAAUCCUCAAGUUCAUGGCUAUAUCAGUUUUCUUAAUAUAUGUUUGUGAAGUUUAAACCAAUCUCAUAGGUCAGCCUUUUGGUCUUACGUAGUAUGUCUGCCUACAUGAAAAAACAGAAAAUUUUGUCAUUCUACCCUGCACUUUCACCCCCUACGUUAUCUGCAAGUGUAUCGAAUAGAGCCUGCAACGUUCUUGCGCUUCAUCCUUUGUUAUUGCAGUAAUAAAGCUUCUCUAAAAUAUUGGACAGCAUACUGUUUGCAGUAACUAACCUACCAAUAGAUUAAGGUCCUUUGUCCUCUGCAUGCAUCUACCAGUAGUACAAAGCUUAUUUCAAAAGUGCACGAAUUUCUUAAGGCUGGCUUUCUGAUCAGGCUUUGCUUAUCUCCUUUUUUUUCUGUUAUCUUUGGUGAGGGGCCUUGCCUGGUAAUCUGCAUGCAACUCUGAUGCCCUACUCAAUAGUCUAUUUGGGUAAGUCCCACAAUUCACUAAAUAUAUCUAAGCUGUCCGACAAUAUUGAUGAAA